Molecule: ribosomal RNA, 465 nt
Filed under: Vreelandella stevensii
Lineage: Bacteria; Pseudomonadati; Pseudomonadota; Gammaproteobacteria; Oceanospirillales; Halomonadaceae
Description: partial 16S ribosomal RNA
Rfam family: Bacterial small subunit ribosomal RNA
Source: RNAcentral
CCUACGGGCGGCAGCAGUGGGGAAUAUUGGACAAUGGGGGGAACCCUGAUCCAGCCAUGCCGCGUGUGUGAAGAAGGCCCUCGGGUUGUAAAGCACUUUCAGUGAGGAAGAACGCCUGGUGGUUAAUACCCAUCAGGAAAGACAUCACUCACAGAAGAAGCACCGGCUAACUCCGUGCCAGCAGCCGCGGUAAUACGGAGGGUGCGAGCGUUAAUCGGAAUUACUGGGCGUAAAGCGCGCGUAGGUGGCUUGAUAAGCCGGUUGUGAAAGCCCCGGGCUCAACCUGGGAACGGCAUCCGGAACUGUCAAGCUAGAGUGCAGGAGAGGAAGGUAGAAUUCCCGGUGUAGCGGUGAAAUGCGUAUAGAUCGGGAGGAAUACCAGUGGCGAAGGCGGCCUUCUGGACUGACACUGACACUGAGGUGCGAAAGCGUGGGUAGCAAACAGGAUUAGAUACCCUUGUAGUC